Molecule: long non-coding RNA, 524 nt
Organism: Acipenser ruthenus (sterlet)
Lineage: Eukaryota; Metazoa; Chordata; Actinopteri; Acipenseriformes; Acipenseridae
Exons: 5
Source: RefSeq, a predicted model, not a curated record
CAUGAAAUUUACAUCUUUAUUCUCAUAAUCAUGGAUAUUUUCUUUUACGAACAUUUCAUUUAUAGGUUGUGGAUUGUGAAGACGUCCAAUUUGAAGAUCUGACGUUUUCUGAAAGUCUCUGUGAGAUUGCUCCUGAUCGACCAAAGGGAGCUGAAGCUGCUUCUGCAGUACCCAACCAGAUGCUACAGCCUCAACCUUCCAGCAGUGCAACAGAACUGGAUAUUAAUUCUCUUUACAUGCCUAGGCUUCCCUAUGUAGGUGAAGAGCAAAUUAAAGUCUAUGAAGACUAUGUGAUUGGUAGUGGUAACUUUGGAACUGUGUACAGGGGAUCCUACCAGGGGACAGUUGCUGCCAUUAAAAAAAUCCCCAUUCAAGGAUCUCUGAAUGACAUAACACAUGAGAUUCUCGUCUGCAUUUGAAUGAAGAAGAGCAAUGCUACAUUGGACUGGAAGUAGCUCUUGCUGUUGAGUACAUUCAUUCAAAGAAUAUAAUACAUCAGGAUAUCAAACCAGCAAAUAUUCUGG